UGAGGAAUAUUGGUCAAUGGACGGAAGUCUGAACCAGCCAAGUAGCGUGCAGGACGACGGCCCUAUGGGUUGUAAACUGCUUUUAUAUGGGGAUAAAGUGGGCCACGUGUGGCUUAUUGCAGGUACCAUAUGAAUAAGGACCGGCUAAUUCCGUGCCAGCAGCCGCGGUAAUACGGAAGGUCCGGGCGUUAUCCGGAUUUAUUGGGUUUAAAGGGAGCGUAGGCCGUCUGUUAAGCGUGUUGUGAAAUGUCGGGGCUCAACCUGGGCAUUGCAGCGCGAACUGGCAGACUUGAGUGCGCGGGAAGUAGGCGGAAUUCGUCGUGUAGCGGUGAAAUGCUUAGAUAUGACGAAGAACUCCGAUUGCGAAGGCAGCCUGCUGUAGCGUAACUGACGCUGAAG
RNAcentral lists this ribosomal RNA (399 nucleotides) under uncultured Prevotella sp. RNAcentral describes it as "bacterial SSU rRNA". It matches the Rfam family "Bacterial small subunit ribosomal RNA", at positions 355 to 751 of the family's 1533-position model. Lineage: Bacteria; Pseudomonadati; Bacteroidota; Bacteroidia; Bacteroidales; Prevotellaceae. The record is from RNAcentral.